CUUUUUUCAUAUGAAUCUAUAUUGCAAAGCAGAGGGAACUCUGCCUCGCCUGCACAACAGGCUGCUUCCAGAUGGGUGACUUGUGUAACACUGUAUGAGACACUAAGCUGAGGUUCCAGGCUUGCAGAGGAAAUACAAGAAUAAACCGAGACCAAGAGAGGAGAGGAAGUGUGAGGGUAGCUGAGAACAUCCGCUCUAUUGCUGAGAUCCUCAGCCCUUUGUUGCUUCCUGACUCUUACAGCUGACAGGGGCAGAAGAUGGGGAAAUGCGACAGACUCCAUCAAAGUCACACACUGCUAAUUGCUUAAGCAAGUUCUCUCUUUCUCGUUGAUAACAGCACAAGAAUAGUGCAAGUCUUCUACAGUAUGAGCCAGAGCCAUUGCUCACACCAGCUGAGCAGGAGCUGAGUCCAUCCACCAUCUUGGCAGGACUGGGGGGGUGAAGAACAUGGAACAUAAAAUGAAUGAAAGUGACACACAUCAACAGUGUGUUUCUGGACAGCGUCACUCUGGUGAAGGCACAUCCCAGUUAUUGAUGCAUAAAGAGAGGUGGGCCUGGACAGAGACCAAAUCUAAGCUGUAAUCAGC
This 587-nucleotide long non-coding RNA is filed under the name Numida meleagris (helmeted guineafowl). RNAcentral describes it as "lncRNA (ENSNMEG00000000587.1)". The record is from RNAcentral. Lineage: Eukaryota; Metazoa; Chordata; Aves; Galliformes; Numididae.